GUAGGGUGCAAGCGUCAAUCGGAAUUACUGGGCGUAAAGCGUGCGCAGGCGGGUUUUGUAAGUCUGUCGUGAAAGCCCCGGGGCUCAACCUGGGAAUUGCGAUGGAGACUGCAAGGCUUGAAUCUGGCAGAGGGGGGUAGAAUUCCACGUGUAGCAGUGAAAUGCGUAGAGAUGGGGAGGAACACCGAUGGCGAAGGCAGCCCCCUGGGUCAAGAUUGACGCUCAUGCACGAAAGCGUGGGGAGCAAGCAGGAUUAGAUACCCUGGUAGUCCACGCCCUAAACGAUGUCUACUAGUUGUCGGGUUUUAAUUAACUUGGUAACGCAGCUAACGCGUGAAGUAGACCGCCUGGGGAGUACGGUCGCAAGAUUA
RNAcentral lists this ribosomal RNA (371 nucleotides) under uncultured organism. Its description in RNAcentral is "partial 16S ribosomal RNA". It matches the Rfam family "Bacterial small subunit ribosomal RNA", at positions 527 to 896 of the family's 1533-position model. The record is from RNAcentral.